UUUGACAGCUUGUUCGGAAGCAUAGCAACAACGAUGCUGAGGAUGACCUGCCGAGUGUGAUGACUUGCGCUAACUAUCUCAAGUUACCUGCCUACUGUUCGAAGGAAAGGAUGAGGGAGAAACUACUGUACGCAAUUACGGAAGGCCAGGGAUCCUUCCACCUAUCUUGAUUGGAAACCAGUAGCAACGCGCGCCACACGCAGUAGAAGUUUGUGCGUGCUUUGUAAGUAUUAUCACGUAGGGGGAAAACAUAGCGUAGAAGUGGGAGGCUCGCUGCUUAACUUAUGGUGCGUUUCGGCGGAGCUGAUGUUAGGAGGGGAAGAAAACAGAGGACGCCCCGCCCGUCCUAUCUAUCCUUGCUUGUACAUAGUGGUAGAACAGGUAGAAGCCUUUAGGCGUGUGUGCUCCCAAGUGGUCUCGCACAUGGCGACCGCAAUCAACUUACCUCGCUGCUAUUUAUGUGGUCAUAUUUUGCUGUACAUAUACGUGGCCGCAAGUGCUAUUGCUAUCUACCUAUAUAUAUCGUUCUGAGCUGGUGUUCUUAGCACA
Long non-coding RNA from Lolium rigidum, 549 nucleotides. RefSeq lists it as uncharacterized. The record is from RefSeq and is a predicted model, not a curated record. Lineage: Eukaryota; Viridiplantae; Streptophyta; Magnoliopsida; Poales; Poaceae. The transcript has 3 exons.